RNAcentral lists this ribosomal RNA (253 nucleotides) under uncultured bacterium. Its description in RNAcentral is "partial 16S ribosomal RNA". It matches the Rfam family "Bacterial small subunit ribosomal RNA", at positions 524 to 776 of the family's 1533-position model. The record is from RNAcentral.
GACGUACCGUGCGAACGUUGUUCGGAAUUACUGGGCUUAAAGGGCGCGUAGGCGGGCUGCCAAGUCCGGGGUGAAAUCUCUCGGCUCAACCGGAAAAGUGCCUUGGAUACUGGUGGUCUUGAGCGAGGUAGGGGUAUGUGGAACUUCCGGUGGAGCGGUGAAAUGCGCUGAUAUCGGAAGGAACGCCGGUGGCGAAAGCGACGUACUGGACCUCUACUGACGCUGAGGCGCGAAAGCUAGGGGAGCGAACGGG